AUUGAACGCUGGCGGCAUGCCUUACACAUGCAAGUCGAGCGGAGAUGAGGUGCUUGCACCUUAUCUUAGCGGCGGACGGGUGAGUAAUGCUUAGGAAUCUGCCUAUUAGUGGGGGACAACAUUCCGAAAGGAAUGCUAAUACCGCAUACGUCCUACGGGAGAAAGCAGGGGAUCUUCGGACCUUGCGCUAAUAGAUGAGCCUAAGUCGGAUUAGCUAGUUGGUGGGGUAAAGGCCUACCAAGGCGACGAUCUGUAGCGGGUCUGAGAGGAUGAUCCGCCACACUGGGACUGAGACACGGCCCAGACUCCUACGGGAGGCAGCAGUGGGGAAUAUUGGACAAUGGGGGAAACCCUGAUCCAGCCAUGCCGCGUGUGUGAAGAAGGCCUUAUGGUUGUAAAGCACUUUAAGCGAGGAGGAGGCUACUGAGACUAAUACUCUUGGAUAGUGGGCGUUACUCGCAGAAUAAGCACCGGCUAACUCUGUGCCAGCCGCCGCAGUAA
Molecule: ribosomal RNA, 501 nt
Filed under: uncultured bacterium
Lineage: Bacteria
Description: partial 16S ribosomal RNA
Rfam family: Bacterial small subunit ribosomal RNA
Source: RNAcentral